CCUACGGGAGGCAGCAGUAAGGAAUAUUGGUCAAUGGACGCAAGUCUGAACCAGCCAUGCCGCGUGAAGGAUGAAGGCCCUCUGGGUUGUAAACUUCUUUUAUCUGGGAAGAAAUCCACUGUUUCCACGGUGGUUGACGGUACCAGAGGAAUAAGCACCGGCUAACUCCGUGCCAGCAG
This 179-nucleotide ribosomal RNA is filed under the name uncultured bacterium. RNAcentral's name for it is "partial 16S ribosomal RNA". It matches the Rfam family "Bacterial small subunit ribosomal RNA", at positions 338 to 514 of the family's 1533-position model. The record is from RNAcentral.